CACGUUGAAACACCGGUUUCCAUACAAUCACUGAAGUUAAGCAACGUCGAGCAUGGUCAGCACCUAGAUGGGUGACCGCUUGGAAAUACUAUGUGCUGUAAG
Molecule: non-coding RNA, 102 nt
Organism: Acanthosepion pharaonis
Lineage: Eukaryota; Metazoa; Mollusca; Cephalopoda; Sepiida; Sepiidae
Source: the annotation of a GenBank genome assembly